Long non-coding RNA from Varanus komodoensis (Komodo dragon), 187 nucleotides. RefSeq lists it as uncharacterized. The record is from RefSeq and is a predicted model, not a curated record. The transcript is spliced from 3 exons. NCBI's taxonomy places the organism in Eukaryota, Metazoa, Chordata, Lepidosauria, Squamata, Varanidae.
AAGGCUUUUUGAAAAUGGCCUCUUUUCAAUGGAACUUUAUCCUACAUUAGGGUUAGGGGUGUGCCCCAGGGUAGGGUUAAGGUUAGAAAAACGAGGCAUCUUGGCAUGAAUUUGAUGGCUGCAACGUGCUUAGAAUGGGCAGAAAUGCUGAGCUGUGCAGAAAAAGCUACUCAAGGAAGGAUUUAUC